AUUGAACGCUGGCGGCAGGCCUAACACAUGCAAGUCGAGCGGAUGAAGGGAGCUUGCUCCUGGAUUCAGCGGCGGACGGGUGAGUAAUGCCUAGGAAUCUGCCUGGUAGUGGGGGAUAACGUCCGGAAACGGGCGCUAAUACCGCAUACGUCCUAAGGGAGAAAGGGGGGGAUCUUCGGACCUCACGCUAUCAGAUGAGCCUAGGUCGGAUUAGCUAGUUGGUGGGGUAAAGGCCUACCAAGGCGACGAUCCGUAACUGGUCUGAGAGGAUGAUCAGUCACACUGGAACUGAGACACGGUCCAGACUCCUACGGGAGGCAGCAGUGGGGAAUAUUGGACAAUGGGCGAAAGCCUGAUCCAGCCAUGCCGCGUGUGUGAAGAAGGUCUUCGGAUUGUAAAGCACUUUAAGUUGGGAGGAAGGGCAGUAAGUUAAUACCUUGCUGUUUUGACGUUACCAACAGAAUAAGCACCGGCUAACUUCGUG
RNAcentral lists this ribosomal RNA (484 nucleotides) under uncultured bacterium. RNAcentral describes it as "partial 16S ribosomal RNA". It matches the Rfam family "Bacterial small subunit ribosomal RNA", at positions 30 to 507 of the family's 1533-position model. The record is from RNAcentral.